This is a long non-coding RNA of Gasterosteus aculeatus aculeatus (three-spined stickleback), 1618 nucleotides long. NCBI's taxonomy places the organism in Eukaryota, Metazoa, Chordata, Actinopteri, Perciformes, Gasterosteidae. The record is from Ensembl.
ACACACGCACACACACAGUGUUAAAUGACAGAAUGAGGUCUCAAACAUACGGCGCGGCAUCUUUUAGCACACGAAUGACAACAGAAAUAUCAGUUCUAUAAAUAAGUGUGCACUCCUAAGUUAGCAUGGUGUUAGCCCCGGCUAGCUCCAUGCUAACGAGCUAGCAGGCAGCUCGAGGCACACGUAAGCACGGCAAGGAGCCACUGCUAAGUGGCUAAUUGAGGUCAACCCGGACGCCAAAACACAAAAGCUUCGGACAAAACGGUAGCUACGAUGGUGAAUAAUUUGUAAUUUAUUCCACGUGUCGAUAAACAUGUGUCCCUCCGGUCUGUCCACGUGCUUUAGGCAGCACAGCAGCCGGGUCGGAUGUAAACAAGGAAGCAUUUCAGUCUCCAACACGCACAAAGGAAAACAAAUGCAUGCAAAUAGAGUCAUUCUAUCAAUAGCCACCACUAUACACGUUUCAUAUUUAAUGCCGGGGACUGCGAGCUCACCUUUAUCCAACAAACGGUGGGGUUAUAAGAACCGGAGGAGCACUUCCAGUCAGAGGGAGAGAGACGAACAACUUCCGGGUUUGUCAGCAGAAAAAUGUGUUGGCCGACAGUAACGUUUCACUGCGUGCGUCCGGCGACCACCACGACCACUGGAGGCAACCAGAGAUCCCCCGCGAGAAGCGCCUCGAUCCGAAAGAAUGUUUGGCUCGAGUUUGAAAGGCUGGACUUGAGAUGUAUAAUGUUUUGGAAAUUCGAAGCACCGACGUUUGAAAACGUGUCCACGGUUUAUAAAGACUGAUCACACGAGGCUAUUGAGAUACACAAGCACAAACCUCUUCCCACAGAGGCGCCGAAGCUCUGGUUGUACAGUCGGAGUGCUACCCAGAGCUAAUAAAAGAAGCAUCGGCGUCGUCGUAGCGGCGAGCAAAUGGCAUAUACGAUAUGAAAUCAGAGGGUGAAUGCCAUCUGAUUCCAGAGGGUUCUCCAUGCGUGUCAACGGGGGAAAAGGCCAUCACAGAGUUGGAUUGUUUCCCUCCGAAAAGAAAGGUGGAGGAUGCCUGACUGAAUGGAAGCAUCUGGUUCAGCGGUUCAUCUCCCAGCGUCCAGACCACUGGCGUGUUGAAGAUGGAUGGAGUGUCCUGGACAAGGGGGUUUAAAGUCCCCCUGAUUUGACAAUCACGCAUUCCAGGGGGGGACGGUUCUGCCUGGCCAAUGAUCUUUAUUGAGGAGAAGGAGUUAAAAGAAGCAUGUCAUUGCUCCCGUUUGAUGUCCUCUGCAUCCGGCUCACUUUCCGUGCCAGGAGCUGUGGUCAACGCCUUUUCCACAGAGCGCCUGAUCAAAAACGGGAUUUACGUCAGCUGCUCCGGUGAAUUGGCAAUAUUCUGCAAACUGAUGGUCAUUUGUGUACAAAUGUACUUGUCAGGAGACUAAAACUGUGUCCUGAACGCUGCUAUUGCUUCGGCUUAGUCGUGUUGAGAGGAUUUUGGAGAAUGCUGUGCUAAAAUUAGGCACAAAGCAUUGUUUUCUUUGGUGAAUUCUGAGGACAUGAUCAAACCCAAGGACAGUUGUUUGGGAAUAGUUGGCACAAUUAGACGACAUUUAUUAGUUAGCCAACAAUAUUUUCC